GAUGAGUUUAUUGGGGUUUGCUCUGUGGAUGUUCUAACCUCACAUCUAGGAGAGGUUCCCCUAUGCUAACAAAGGCUGGUCUUGCCAAAAUUUUGCACUAAUAAUGCAGGUAUACACACGGUCUGUGAUUGAACCACUUCCUGUCACUCCAACUCGGGACGUGGCUACAUCUCCCAUUUCACCUACUGAAAAUAACACCACUCCACCAGAUGCUUUGACCCGGAAUACUGAGAAGCAGAAGAAGAAGCCUAAAAUGUCUGAUGAGGAGAUCUUGGAGAAAUUACGAAGCAUAGUGAGUGUGGGCGAUCCUAAGAAGAAAUAUACACGGUUUGAGAAGAUUGGACAAGGGUUAGUAGGGGCAUUUUCUUUCCCUGGAGAAAUGACUUUAAAGUGUGUGUGCCGGCAUAUAUGAUUUUGCUUUUGUUUUGCCUCUCAUAAACCUUGUUCUUCUUUCUCCACUUUACCCCUCACCCAUCUGGAGUUGUUAUGUGAGACUGACUUCAGAUUUGGCAGAAUUAUGCUUAAUGUGAGAGAGAUGCCAUUAGCUGACCAUGUUGCUAAAAAUACCCCUGCAGUGACAGUGAGAGAACGGUUUUUUUUCUUAGCACAAAACCAACUUCCCAAAUUACAACUCUGCUUUUCUGGAUGAACCCUGUUUGUCCUAGUGCUGAGAUCCACCAGCACUAAUAUAAAAUGGAAGACCCAAAACUAUAAACCCUUCUACUACUGUGAUAGGACCUGUUUUUCUAGGUA
Molecule: small RNA, 753 nt
Filed under: Pan troglodytes (chimpanzee)
Lineage: Eukaryota; Metazoa; Chordata; Mammalia; Primates; Hominidae
Description: retained intron
Source: RNAcentral